Molecule: ribosomal RNA, 247 nt
Filed under: uncultured Oscillospiraceae bacterium
Lineage: Bacteria; Bacillati; Bacillota; Clostridia; Eubacteriales; Oscillospiraceae
Description: partial 16S ribosomal RNA
Rfam family: Bacterial small subunit ribosomal RNA
Source: RNAcentral
CACGCCGUAAACGAUGAUUACUAGGUGUAGGGGGUAUCGACUCCCUCUGUGCCGCAGUUAACGCAUUAAGUAAUCCACCUGGGGAGUACGGCCGCAAGGUUAAAACUCAAAGGAAUUGACGGGGGCCCGCACAAGCAGUGGAGUAUGUGGUUUAAUUCGAGGCAACGCGAAGAACCUUACCAGGGCUUGACAUCCUCGGACGACACUAGAGAUAGUGUUUUCUCUUCGGAGACUGAGAGACAGGUGG